GACGAACGCUGGCGGCGUGCUUAACACAUGCAAGUCGAGCGGUAAGGCCCUUUCGGGGGUACACGAGCGGCGAACGGGUGAGUAACACGUGGGUGACCUGCCCUCAGCUCUGGAAUAAGCCUGGGAAACCGGGUCUAAUACCGGAUAUGACUCCAUGACGCAUGUUGUGGGGUGGAAAGCCUUGUGCGGCUGAGGAUGGGCCCGCGGCCUAUCAGCUUGUUGGUGGGGUGAUGGCCUACCAAGGCGACGACGGGUAGCCGGCCUGAGAGGGCGACCGGCCACACUGGGACUGAGACACGGCCCAGACUCCUACGGGAGGCAGCAGUGGGGAAUCUUGCGCAAUGGGCGAAAGCCUGACGCAGCGACGCCGCGUGAGGGAUGACGGCCUCGGUGUAACUACUUC
This 403-nucleotide ribosomal RNA is filed under the name uncultured bacterium. RNAcentral's name for it is "bacterial SSU rRNA". It matches the Rfam family "Bacterial small subunit ribosomal RNA", at positions 28 to 433 of the family's 1533-position model. The record is from RNAcentral.